CAGUCGCCGCGGUAAUACGUAGGUGGUAAGCGUUGUCCGGAAUUAUUGGGCGUAAAGCGCGCGCAGGUGGUUUAAUAAGUCUGAUGUGAAAGCCCACGGCUCAACCGUGGAGGGUCAUUGGAAACUGUUAAACUUGAGUGCAGGAGAGAAAAGUGGAAUUCCUAGUGUAGCGGUGAAAUGCGUAGAGAUUAGGAGGAACACCAGUGGCGAAGGCGGCUUUUUGGCCUGUAACUGACACUGAGGCGCGAAAGCGUGGGGAGCAAACAGGAUUAGAUACCCCAGUAGUCCCUGUCUCUUAUAA
This 301-nucleotide ribosomal RNA is filed under the name uncultured bacterium. Its description in RNAcentral is "partial 16S ribosomal RNA". It matches the Rfam family "Bacterial small subunit ribosomal RNA", at positions 509 to 809 of the family's 1533-position model. The record is from RNAcentral.